CUACGGAGGGGGCUAGCGUUGUUCGGAAUUACUGGGCGUAAAGCGUACGUAGGCGGACUGAUCAGUUGGGGGUGAAAUCCCAGGGCUUAACCCUGGAACUGCCUUCAAUACUGUCAGUCUUGAGAUUGUAAGAGGUGAGUGGAAUUCCUAGUGUAGAGGUGAAAUUCAUAGAUAUUAGGAGGAACACCAGUGGCGAAGGCGGCUCACUGGUCCAAUACUGACGCUGAGGUACGAAAGCGUGGGGAGCAAACAGGAUUAGAAACCCUAGUAGUCC
Molecule: ribosomal RNA, 274 nt
Filed under: uncultured bacterium
Lineage: Bacteria
Description: partial 16S ribosomal RNA
Rfam family: Bacterial small subunit ribosomal RNA
Source: RNAcentral